This is a small nucleolar RNA of Lycium barbarum (goji berry), 107 nucleotides long. NCBI's taxonomy places the organism in Eukaryota, Viridiplantae, Streptophyta, Magnoliopsida, Solanales, Solanaceae. The record is from RefSeq and is a predicted model, not a curated record.
AAACCAUAAUUUGGAGACUUCUGCAAAUACUCCUUGAAUCUCUCCCAAGCUUCAUAUAACUGCUCCCCCGAAAGCUGUUUGAACUCAUAGAUUUUAUCAUGGAUUUC